CCUACGGGGGGCUGCAGUGGGGAAUAUUGCACAAUGGGCGCAAGCCUGAUGCAGCCAUGCCGCGUGUGUGAAGAAGGCCUUCGGGUUGUAAAGCACUUUCAGCGGGGAGGAAGGCGGUGAGGUUAAUAACCUCAUCGAUUGACGUUACCCGCAGAAGAAGCACCGGCUAACUCCGUGCCAGCAGCCGCGGUAAUACGGAGGGUGCAAGCGUUAAUCGGAAUUACUGGGCGUAAAGCGCACGCAGGCGGUCUGUCAAGUCGGAUGUGAAAUCCCCGGGCUCAACCUGGGAACUGCAUUCGAAACUGGCAGGCUAGAGUCUUGUAGAGGGGGGUAGAAUUCCAGGUGUAGCGGUGAAAUGCGUAGAGAUCUGGAGGAAUACCGGUGGCGAAGGCGGCCCCCUGGACAAAGACUGACGCUCGGGUGCGAAAGCGUGGGGAGCAAACAGGAUUAGAUACCCGAGUAGUC
Molecule: ribosomal RNA, 465 nt
Filed under: uncultured Klebsiella sp.
Lineage: Bacteria; Pseudomonadati; Pseudomonadota; Gammaproteobacteria; Enterobacterales; Enterobacteriaceae
Description: bacterial SSU rRNA
Rfam family: Bacterial small subunit ribosomal RNA
Source: RNAcentral